CCUACGGGAGGCUGCAGUGAGGAAUAUUGGUCAAUGGGCGGGCGCCUGAACCAGCCAAGUCGCGUGAGGGAAGACUGCACUGUGGGUUGUAAACCUCUUUUGUCAGGGAGCAACGCCGGCUACGUGUAGCCGGACGGAGAGAACCGGAAGAAAAAGCAUCGGCAAACUCCGUGCCAGCAGCCGCGGUAAUACGGAGGAUGCGGGCGUUAUCCGGAUUUGUUGGGUUUAAAGGGUGCGUAGGCGGAAUGCCAAGUCAGCGGUAAAAUCGCGGGGCUCAACCCCGCUCCGCCGUUGAAACUGGCGUUCUUGAGUGGGCGAGAGGUAUGCGGAAUGCGUGGUGUAGCGGUGAAAUGCAUAGAUAUCGCGCAGAACUCCGAUUGCGAAGGCAGCAUACCGGCGCCGAACUGACGCUGAGGCACGAAAGCGUGGGUAUCGAACAGGAUUAGAUACCCUGGUAGUC
This 460-nucleotide ribosomal RNA is filed under the name uncultured bacterium. Its description in RNAcentral is "partial 16S ribosomal RNA". It matches the Rfam family "Bacterial small subunit ribosomal RNA", at positions 338 to 795 of the family's 1533-position model. The record is from RNAcentral.